AUCGCCCUUCUUCUAUUACUCGGAAUCUCACACUCCCACACCCACUGCUCCUCCGU
Molecule: non-coding RNA, 56 nt
Filed under: Gloeochaete wittrockiana
Lineage: Eukaryota; Glaucocystophyceae; Gloeochaetales; Gloeochaetaceae
Source: RNAcentral